CCUACGGGUGGCAGCAUUGAGGAAUAUUGGUCAAUGGACGCGAGUCUGAACCAGCCAAGUAGCGUGAAGGAUGACUGCCCUAUGGGUUGUAAACUUCUUUUAUAUGGGAAUAAAAUGUUCCACGUGUGGGAUUUUGUAUGUACCAUAUGAAUAAGGAUCGGCUAACUCCGUGCCAGCAGCCGCGGUAAUACGGAGGAUCCGAGCGUUAUCCGGAUUUAUUGGGUUUAAAGGGAGCGUAGGUGGAUUGUUAAGUCAGUUGUGAAAGUGUGCGGCUCAACCGUACAAUUGCAGUUGAAACGGGCAGUCUUGAGUACAGUAGAGGUGGGCGGAAUUCGUGGUGUAGCGGUGAAAUGCUUAGAUAUCACGAAGAACUCCGAUUGCGAAGGCAGUUCACUGGACUGCAACUGACACUGAGGCUCGAAAGUGUGGGUAUCAAACAGGAUUAGAUACCCGAGUAGUC
Molecule: ribosomal RNA, 460 nt
Filed under: uncultured bacterium
Lineage: Bacteria
Description: partial 16S ribosomal RNA
Rfam family: Bacterial small subunit ribosomal RNA
Source: RNAcentral